This is a long non-coding RNA of Grus americana (Whooping crane), 1068 nucleotides long. RefSeq lists it as uncharacterized. The record is from RefSeq and is a predicted model, not a curated record. Lineage: Eukaryota; Metazoa; Chordata; Aves; Gruiformes; Gruidae. The transcript is spliced from 3 exons.
CCCAGAGGUGCGGCCGUCGGCCGUCUGCCCGCUGCGGGAUUCGGGGCCGCGGCGGGCUCCAGCCCAGCGGUGCCCCGCCACCCUCCUCCCGCCGUACUCCUCUCCCCUUCCCCUGUCUCCUCGCCCCCUGAGACAGCAUCCCCGCUGGCGGUGCGGUGGCCUGCACUCCCCCGGGGAGCCCGAAGCGGCACCUGGGAGAGAGAGGAUGAUGGCACGGGGGGAUGUUGCAUUAAUAAAGCACAUUCUUCGGGGAAAUCUGAACGACAAGGGGGGUACGGCAGAGACUGUAAAGCUGUUAUGUUGAAGCGAGCACAGCUGCCCUUUUUUUUUUUUAAAUAGUAGGGCUUUUCUCAAGCACCAGAAUCUAGAUGAUGGUAAAAUUCAAUCCAGAAUCAGAUGGUCUACGACUGACAUGUCACUUCAUCCCCUCCUCAGCACAACGGCUGUAGCCUACAAGUGAGAGGCAGCAAAAGCAUGUCCUGAUGUCAGAUGUUUCUUCAUUUCUCCUCUAUCUGCUCUGGGUUUGGGGAUUUUGUCCACCAGCUGAUAAUAACCCAGGAGUUUCUAUCAGUUUGUCAGAUUCCUUGGGAUAAGAAACUACAAGAUCAAAACCACCUGAGUUAAUGGCUGUCAAAUACCUCUGUCCAGGAGACACUGAGGAUUCUAAUCCGCCAUACUGCAGCCUGAGGUGAUAAGUAUUAUACAUACAUCCCAAAUUACAGAUGCUGGAAGCCAGAAUCAUCGCCAGGCAAUACUCUUCUUCUUUUGUCUUAAGUGCAUGAAGCAAGCUACGGAAUCAUUACACUUCUUCAGACAGCUAGUUUAUGUUAUUAUUGUCUGAAUCAAUAAUAAACCCACCUGAUAAUGAAAUAGCUUCUCCAGCUGCCUGAUCACCAUUUUUGGGGGGUGAAAAAGCCCCUAAGUUUUUCAACAACCUUGAAGAGAAGAUGCAUUUCUAGUAUCAGUUCCGAGAAACUGUAAGAAUGAAUUCCAAUGUAUGUAGCCUAUUGCCGGAGAGCCAACAGACUGCCUCUCCCCUGGGAACCUGGCAUGGCAGUACCUAGGAAA